AGCGAACGCUGGCGGCAGGCCUAACACAUGCAAGUCGAACGAACUCUUCGGAGUUAGUGGCGGACGGGUGAGUAACACGUGGGAACGUGCCUUUAGGUUCGGAAUAACUCAGGGAAACUUGUGCUAAUACCGAAUGUGCCCUUCGGGGGAAAGAUUUAUCGCCUUUAGAGCGGCCCGCGUCUGAUUAGCUAGUUGGUGAGGUAAAGGCUCACCAAGGCGACGAUCAGUAGCUGGUCUGGGAGGAUGAUCAGCCACAUUGGGACUGAGACACGGCCCAAACUCCUACGGGAGGCAGCAGUGGGGAAUCUUGCGCAAUGGGCGAAAGCCUGACGCAGCCAUGCCGCGUGAAUGAUGAAGGUCUUAGGAUUGUAAGAUUCUUUCACCGGGGACGAUAAUGACGGUACCCGGAGAAGAAGCCCCGGCUAACUUCGUGCCAGCAGCCGCAGUAA
This 449-nucleotide ribosomal RNA is filed under the name uncultured bacterium. RNAcentral's name for it is "partial 16S ribosomal RNA". It matches the Rfam family "Bacterial small subunit ribosomal RNA", at positions 29 to 523 of the family's 1533-position model. The record is from RNAcentral.